GACGAACGCUGGCGGCGUGCUUAACACAUGCAAGUCGAACGAAGUGGCGAACGGGUGAGUAACGCGUAAUCAAGCUGCCCUUCAGAGGGGGACAACAGUUGGAAACUACUGCUAAUACCGCAUACUGAAGGUGGGGAUUGUGGCUGAUUAGGUAGUUGGAGGGGUAACGGCCCCCCAAGGCGAUGAUCAGUAGCCGGUCUGAGAGGAUGAACGGCCACAUUGGGAAUGAGACACGGCCCAGACUCCUACGGGGAGCAGCAGUGGGGAAUCUUCCGAAAUGGACGAAAGUCUGACGGAGCAACGCCGGGUGAGUGAUGACGGCCUUCGGGUUGUAAAGCUCUGUUAAUCGGGACGCGGUACCGGAAUAGAAAGCCACGGCUAACUACGUGCCAGCAGCCGCGGUAAUUC
This 408-nucleotide ribosomal RNA is filed under the name uncultured bacterium. Its description in RNAcentral is "partial 16S ribosomal RNA". It matches the Rfam family "Bacterial small subunit ribosomal RNA", at positions 28 to 526 of the family's 1533-position model. The record is from RNAcentral.